Molecule: ribosomal RNA, 252 nt
Filed under: uncultured bacterium
Lineage: Bacteria
Description: partial 16S ribosomal RNA
Rfam family: Bacterial small subunit ribosomal RNA
Source: RNAcentral
UACGUAGGGUGCGAGCGUUAAUCGGAAUUACUGGGCGUAAAGCGUGCGCAGGCGGUUUUGUAAGCCAGGUGUGAAAUCCCCGGGCUCAACCUGGGAAUGGCAUUUGGGACUGCAAGGCUGGAGUGCGGCAGAGGAGACUGGAAUUCCUGGUGUAGCAGUGAAAUGCGCAGAUAUCAGGAGGAACACCGGUGGCGAAGGCGGAUCUCUGGGCCUGUCCUGACGCUCAGGCGCGAAAGCUAGGGAGCAAACAGG